Molecule: RNA transcript, 4324 nt
Organism: Camarhynchus parvulus
Lineage: Eukaryota; Metazoa; Chordata; Aves; Passeriformes; Thraupidae
Gene name: KIAA1958 ortholog
Exons: 4
Source: RefSeq, a predicted model, not a curated record
UCCGGUGGCUGACAGGAGCUGGAGCCCGCCGCUGCCUCCUCCGGCGUGGAGUACCACUCACCCCCACACACACCGCGGGGAGGAGGAGGAGGAGGAGGAAGAGGGCGGAGGGAGCAGAGCAGCCCCCCCGCCCCAACCCCCAAGCGAUAUCGCCCUCAUCCCCCCAUGCAAUACGGGCGAUAUAGCACGGCUCCCCGCCCCGCGCUCCCACGGACAGGCACCUGCAGGUGAGAAGAAAUAUGAGCUUGGCAACACAUGACCAUCAGUGCCAGGACCCUGUGAUCUGAACUGCAUCUUCAGCUGACUUCCCAGCGGCCAGGUGCUGUUGAUCCUGUACCAUGGAGGACUGCCUUCACACUUCUUCCGAAAACCUCUCCAAGCUGGUGAGCUGGGCCCACAGCCAUGGGACCAUCUGCAGCCUCAUCCCCAACCUCAAGCACCUGCUUUCUGAGGGGGCCCAUGGCAACCUGACAGCCAUGUGGGGCUGUAGUGCUGGCCAUGCCUACCACUGGCCCCUGGCUGCCACUUGCCGGGCCGGUUCCCAGGAGCGUGUCUGCUUCCAGGACAGCCGCAGCUUCAACUCAGACAGCCCCAGCAUGCUGGGGGUGCCAUCAGAGGCUCAGGCCAGUCCCCUGGAGCGCUACCCAGGCCGGCCAGGGAAAGCCAAGCUGGAUUGCACCCGCACUCGUGACUCCUGUGACUUCUCCUACUGCAGCGAGCCGUCAGACCUGGGCGAGCCUGUGGAGGAGUAUGAGGAUGAGGCCACCCUCUUUGACAUGGUCUGUGAGUCCUCUGUCACCGACGAGGACAGUGACUUUGAGCCACAUCCGCACCGUGCUCCCACCGGCCCCCGCAAGCGGCCAGCAGCCACGGCCCAGGCCCAGGCCCAGGCUGCCGACGAGGGGGGCGGUGACGUGCUCCUCAAGAAGAUCAAGCAGGAGCUCCCUGAGGACUACUAUAUAGUGGCCAAUGCGGAGCUGACAGCCGGCGCCGAUGGGCCAGCCCUGGCCCUGACGCAGAUGUCCAAGCCCAAGACGCAGCCCCCGGCUGGGCCCUCCUGCCUAGCACCCACCAGAACUGUGCCCCAGCCGGCCGCAGGCCCUGACCCCGACCCGCCGCGCCCCUGCGCCUCCCCGCCUGGCCCGCCCCGCAUGGCCGUGCAGCGGCCACCCCGGGGACCCCUCGCCUCCCCGGCGCGGGGGGCAGGCGGUGGCCCUGUGGCUGCCCUGCAGGUGCCAGCCACCAGCUCCAAUGCCAUCACCACCGCUGGGAAACCCAUCAGCAUCCCCCUCUCAGCCCUGCAGCUGCCUGGUCAGGAGGAGCCGCCGGUGGCUUCUGAGGAGACCCUGCCGUCCAUCCCACAGCUGGCCCCGGGUGGUGAGCUGACCGGCUCGCCCUCGGUGGGCGCCGACCCUGAGGUCAGCUCCAGCCAGCAGCAGUCCCAGGCAGCGCCCACCACCACCCCCGAGGCAGCAGCGCAGCUGAUGCCAGACCAGGAUGAGAGAGCAGCAGAGCUCAGCAGGGAGCAGAAUGAGAAGACCAUUCGCAGCACACAGACUGCUCUCCGCAAUUUCCGAGAAUUCCUCAUUUCCAAGUACCCCUCUGAGACCCGUGAGAUCUAUGUCAUCCCCUGCAAAGAGCUUGAUGCCUAUCUUGCAUCCUUCUUUGUGGACGCUAGACAAAAGGAUGGGUCUGAAUAUGAGCCAAACAGUCUGGCCAACUAUCAGUGUGGACUGGAGCGGUAUCUCAAAGAGCACAGGUAUGGAUACAGUAUUACAAGGGAUAAGGAGUUCAAGAGGUCCCAGGAAGCUCUAAAGCAAAAGCAGAUAGAGCUGAGGUGUAAAGGCAAAGGAAACAAGCCACACAAAUCCAUGAAGCUUACCUUUGCUGAUGAGCUUAUCCUGCGCAAAAGAGGCUUAUUGAGCAGGUACAAUCCUGAAGGGCUUCUGAACCUAGUGUGGCUGAACAACACUAAGGCAUUUGGACACUGCACGGGUUUCCAUGGGUCCACCCUCAAGUGGGGAGACAUCCGACUGCGGGUGACAGAGACUGGGUUGGAGUACCUGGAGUGGAUGGGGCCAGACAACGGGGAUGUGAGUACCAAGAGCAAGAGAGGCGGGACGGACUCGCGGGUGUACGCCACCCAGCACUCCCCACAGACCUGCCCCGUGCAGGACUACAAGGAGUAUGCCCAGAGGCGCCCUCCGGCCAUGCGCUACGAGGAUGCGCCUUUUUACCUGUCCAUCAAACCCGUUGUCAACUUGGCUGCACUUCACUGGUACAACUGCCAAGCCCUGGGGAAAAAUAAGCUUGCCAAGAUGGUGAAGACAAUGUGUGAGAAAGGGAACAUCCCUGGCCGCAAGACCAACUUCAGUGUCUACCAGAGCUGCAGCACCCUCUCAGAAGCUCAGAGCAACCAGCUGGUGCUGAUCUGCAAUAACUUGAGCCAGCAGGCUGCCCAGUCCAUGGCAAGCCACUCUAAUACUGGCAACUUCAUAGUGUCAGCAUCCUAUGACUCAUCAUCUGACACCGCCUGAAAGAACAUCGAAACUUUUUUCUUUUCCUUUUUGUUUCAAGCAUUGAAUUUGUGCUCAAUAAUACACAUCAGCUGUGAUUGUACACUAUUCCCCCUCUCAGCCCUCUCUCCAGUGUUAAUUCACUUUAUAAAAAUAUAUAAACGUAUAAUAUAUUUUUCUUUCUACAAAUAAGUCAACAGAAAUAGUUUAGUAUUACUAACAGUAUUUAUAGUGUUAAUGCAAAAAUGGAAGGUACUUAUGGGUUAUAAUACAAAUGCAGAUUUUAAAAGGAUAGAAAUGGUUCUCAGGCAACACAAGAUAGACUGAAAAUACCAUUUUUAACAUGCACACAUUAAUGAGUGUAAAUCUCCAGGGAGGCUUACGCAGCAAUUCUGUUCUAAAGCAUUUUUUCAACUUAGUAUUGUAACAUGACCUCCCACAGUGGAGGAGACAAACUUAACAUUGGCUGCUGCUUCUUACCUGCUAGCUUAUUCUUGAUCAGCAAGACCAAGAAAUAAGAAAUGCGUCAAUGUAAGUUCACAAAACCAUUUACAGCAUUUUUGUCUGUUUUUAUUAUGUUUCCUGAGGCUCAUUUACACUACAAAAAUCCUGAAGUCAGCUAAAUGCCAUUUUUAACUUUUGGUAUGUUGAUUUUCUGGGAUCAAAAUGUUGCUGGUGUUUAGGCUAAAAAGUAUUGUUUUCAACAAUAUGCAAAAGUAUAAUGGCAAAACCAUUGUCAUACAUAAUUUCACCUCUUUAAGUAUAGGUUGUUAGUAUUUUAUCAAUGUGUGUAUGUAAUGUAAAAUCUGUUGACAUAGAGCACUCUUUCAGUAUUCUGGGAAAAUGAACAGUACAGAAAAAUCUGCAGUCUUAUCCCAGCUGUACAGAAGAAUGACGUCAACUAUGUCUUAAGCCAUCAUUUGAAAUCCACAAAACAAUAGAGAGUGUAAUUUCUACAGAUAUUUUUAAAGAAAUUCUACAGAGAGGUAAAAAGCUGGAUAGUUUUAAGUGCUGGAAUACCAAUUUAACUUAGCUACACAUCAUCUGUUUCCAUUGCAGACAAUGGAAAAUGUGCAUGUGAAUCUGAAGGCAGAAUUUGGACCUUAAAGCCUUGAAAUAACAAGUUCUACUGUUCUACUUUGUAAUGUAGUUUUUCUACUACAAGUAUGGGAAAAACAGUAACAAAUUCACUAUUUCAGUGAACAGUCAUAAGUCUUGACACUUAAAAUUAGGAACAGUACUUUUCAAGUAAAUAAACUUAGUUUAAGUUCCACAAGGAUGUGCGAGGGCUGUGGUGAGGCUUUAGAAAAGUCAGCUGGGGUAAUUGAGUUCCUCCUGAAGUCAAUGAAAGACAGCCUUGGCUGACUUCUGCUGGGUAUUGGACCAAACAGCCUUUGGAGAGGCUUUCUUGUUCUGCAGUUUUUAAUUGUUGUGUUUCUUUAUGCUUGUUUGUCUGUAUUUCUUCACAUUCCUGCAUAUCCUUCAAAUUCUUUAGAUCUGCAACUGUGCAAUGACUUUAAUCAUCACUAAUUCCAAAGAAGAGGUGAAAGAAAGGUAGCAAAUAGAAAUAGAAGUAACCCACCUAGCACUUAUAGACUUUUUUUCUGUGUUCCUAGGAUGAAAGGUUCCUGUGUGAGAGAGGGGUGGCAGAGUGUCUGCACCUCACCUAAGCCUUACUGAAGCAUAUUCAACUAAGCUCAACAAUUUAAUUCUGAUGAUGACUUCAAGUGCUGUGAGCCCCAGCACCACCAAGGCUAUCCCCGUGCCCUCAGUGUGUGGAGAUACUGGUGCAUCACCAAAGGACUCAG